This 590-nucleotide ribosomal RNA is filed under the name Rhodotorula mucilaginosa. RNAcentral's name for it is "partial large subunit ribosomal RNA". It matches the Rfam family "Eukaryotic large subunit ribosomal RNA", at positions 51 to 657 of the family's 3401-position model. Lineage: Eukaryota; Fungi; Basidiomycota; Microbotryomycetes; Sporidiobolales; Sporidiobolaceae. The record is from RNAcentral.
CGGAGGAAAAGAAACUAACAAGGAUUCCCCUAGUAGCGGCGAGCGAAGCGGGAAGAGCUCAAAUUUAUAAUCUGGCACCUUCGGUGUCCGAGUUGUAAUCUCUAGAAAUGUUUUCCGCGUUGGACCGCACACAAGUCUGUUGGAAUACAGCGGCAUAGUGGUGAGACCCCCGUAUAUGGUGCGGACGCCCAGCGCUUUGUGAUACAUUUUCGAAGAGUCGAGUUGUUUGGGAAUGCAGCUCAAAUUGGGUGGUAAAUUCCAUCUAAAGCUAAAUAUUGGCGAGAGACCGAUAGCGAACAAGUACCGUGAGGGAAAGAUGAAAAGCACUUUGGAAAGAGAGUUAACAGUACGUGAAAUUGUUGGAAGGGAAACGCUUGAAGUCAGACUUGCUUGCCGAGCAAUCGGUUUGCAGGCCAGCAUCAGUUUUCCGGGAUGGAUAAUGGUAGAGAGAAGGUAGCAGUUUCGGCUGUGUUAUAGCUCUCUGCUGGAUACAUCUUGGGGGACUGAGGAACGCAGUGUGCCUUUGGCGGGGGUUUCGACCUCUUCACACUUAGGAUGCUGGUGGAAUGGCUUUAAACGACCCGUCUUGA